Pan troglodytes (chimpanzee) is the source of this 4045-nucleotide long non-coding RNA. RefSeq lists it as uncharacterized. The record is from RefSeq and is a predicted model, not a curated record. The transcript is spliced from 2 exons. NCBI's taxonomy places the organism in Eukaryota, Metazoa, Chordata, Mammalia, Primates, Hominidae.
ACUCACAGCUGGUGUGGAGGCUGCUGAUAGACUGAAAGCCCAGGCCAUCCUUGCUAACUGCGGAGGAGCUGCUGGCGUUGGUGCCCCAGGGCCAAGACAGCCCCGGCCUCUUACCAGUUCCUGGGGUCUUCAGUGCGCCUGCCGGGGCUGAAGGCUUCGUCCUUGGCAUGGUGAUGCCCACCUGAGCUGUCAUGCCUCGCCGCCAUGAGCCUGUCUGGGAGAUGACAGGAUUCUUCUUGCCCGACGUGCUUUUGUCGGACUCGUCAGACACAUCAGAAGGAUUCCGCCUCCACUUGGAACCUGGCUCCAUUUUUAUGCCGCUGUCUGAGCCUCCGUCUGAUUUCUUGACAUCAUCACCAGACCACAGGGAAUUCCUCUCCACCUGUGAGUGCUUCUCAGCAUCAGUCUAUGGACAGAGACUCUCUGAAUUAGUCCUUCCCCAAUCCCAGGCUGGGAAGCCCCUCACUCCAAAGGCAAAAAUGCCAAAACACUGGAGUAGUUAAGGGAAAAAUAAUCAUUACUUUAAAGAUGUUUGGACUUUUGUACUCUGGUUAUCUUGUUAGAAAGACUGAUUUUCUUUUUUUGGAAAAAAAAUAAAAAAGUAAAUAAUAUCAAUGUAUCCCUGGAAUGGAAUGGAACGAGAUGGCUGGGCACAGUGGCUCACGCCUAUAAUCCUAAUAUUUUAGGAGGCUGAGGCGGGAGGAUCACUUGAUCCCACAAGUUUAAGACCAGCCUGGGCAUCAUGGCAAAACCCCAUCUCUACAAAAAAUAGAAGAAUUAGCUGAGUGUGGUGGCACACGCCUAUAGUUCUACCCACUCGGGUGGUUGAGGUGAGAGGAUCACCCCGGGGAGGUGGAGGCUGCAGUAAGCCGUGACCGCACCACUGUACUCUAGCCUGGAUGACAGAGCGAGACUGUCUCAAAAAAGAAGAAAAGAAAAGCAAAAGAAAGGAGUGAGGGAAGAGAGGAAAAGGGGCCCAGGAAAAAAGAAGGAAAGAGCCCUAGCGAGGGGAAGGGGCAGAGCAGAUGGAGAUGCAGUGGGAAUUCAGCCACCACCUAUUUUCUGCCACUUGAACAAGCCUCCUCCAACUCUUGCGGCUGAUCUCUAACCAGCAUCCAGUCUCCUGGCCCGUUUCCCUUUGUUCUGCCUUCUUCCCAUCACUGCACCGCAGAGAGAUCUUUGGAUCUAACACACCAAGCAAGGGAGCAAGUGAGCAAGGGUGGCUGCUGGUUCUACUCAAAUCAGGGAGAGCCAGGAGCUGAGGGGAAGCACAUCCUCAAAUGCUACUUCCCCCAAAUGUGGAGAGCCAAUGAUGCCUGCUCCGACCCCAGCAUUAUUUAUAUGUCACUGCUUUGCUCCCCUUGUGGGAUUUUGUUCUGACAAGGGAUAUAAUUAGCCAGCUUUCUUUGGAAGAGCCCUGACCUGCUGGCCAUAAAACCCAGAAGGGGACAGAAGUGUGACGUUAAUGAUCUCCUGCAGCUAAAAGGCAUAAAGCUGACCAGAAUGCUUUGGAGGCCUCCUGGGGUUUGAGGCCAGUUGGAGGAUGUCAGUAGUGAGAAGCAGCACAGUAAAAGGGGAAGGGAGGUCAGGAGCGCUUUCAGGGUGGGUAUACUAAGAUACCAGUCCCAUAUUUGCAAUGCUUAACUACCGAGAGUAGGCAAGAUAGGAAAUUAAAAUGAACACCUGGCAAGAAUCUGCCUAACGCCUGUCAUCCAAGAGUGGAAGAAAUGCCUUCCUCCAUGGAAUACAAUGGCUGAAUGGGAUAAAAGCUAAAAACAGAUAGGCAGCCCAAGUUCAAUCGCCUCCCCAACACCACCCCAACCCCUUCUCCCCUUGUGAAUUCCACUCAUCCAUUACAGACACCUUAUGAGUUCUUUCAUUUGUUUUUUUCCAGCUAAGUAUUAGUCACUAGAGAUAUGAGGAGGACAAACACACACUGCCUGGCUAUGAGAAGCUCAUCAUUCAGCUGUGGCAAGGGACAGAGAGAGGGGAGUUCCUACAUGUGGGCACGGGGCAGGAGCUCACUCAAAGCUUGAUGAGCGAAUGAAUGAGCCUAGGAAGGAGCCAAGGAACACACGCUUUUCAGGCCACAACAGACAUUAGCAAAAUUAUCUUAUCCGAUCUCAGCCUCUAUUUAAUCAGAAAGGGUAAGUACACAAGUACUCAAGUACUGUUAUCUUUAUCUCAAUCUUACAGAAACUAAAGUUGCCCAUUCUUUGUCCCAACUACCUCAGGUCAGUUUCCUUCCUCUAACCACUUCCAGUACAUUCAUCCAACCAGAAUUUACUCCAUGCUUGCUGUCUGCCAGGCACCACGGAGGGUCAGAGAAUCUGGGGAUAAGACUGAUUUCCCACCCAUGGUGGAGCUUACGAUCCAGUGAAACAGGCAGAGAUAGAAUAAAUAAACACAAACAAGGGUGUAAUUGUAGACUACGAAGACUAUUAUAAGGAAAAAGACAAAAAGUCUGAGAAAUAAAUAUAGACAUUGACCUAAUUUAGAUGACAAUGAGGUGGGUAGGCGACAGUGAUCAGUUCAAAAAGAAGUACCCUAAAGAAAGAAAAGAAACUUACUUAGUAAAAGAAGAGUUUGGGGCAGAGCAUACCAGGGAGAGGGAACCACAUGUAUAAAGGUCCUGAGGCAGAAAAUAACUUGGCUUUGGAACAUUCACUUCACAAAUAUUUAUUGGGUGCCACUACGUGCCAGGAAAGCUUAUUCGCACUAGGAAUACUGCAAUGAACAAGUAUAAAUCAUUAACCUCAUGGAGCUUACAUUCAAGUACAUUUUAACAUAUUCUAAUAUGCUCUAAGAGGUACUGAAAAUUUAGCACAUGCCACAUCCUGGGUUACUGCAUUAUUUAUUCUUUUAAUGUUCCUAUACUUAUUUCCCCCCAAUCAAACUGUAAUGGUGCUAAUACUAGUAGCAUAACAACUACAAUUUAUUGAGUACUUACUACGUCCCAGGCACUAAGCUAAAGUGUUUGAUAUGUAUCAUUAAAUUUAAUCCUUAUCAAAAACCUAUGAGGAAAUUACAGUUAAUAGUCUCAAUUUUACAUGACAAAACUGAGGCACACAGUGAAAAGAAAAUUUCCCAAGAUCACAUAGUGAGGAAGUAGAGAUGCAGGGAAUUCAGGGAGUCUAACUGCAGAGCCCACAUUUUAACCACCAUGCCACACUGCCCUCCCUAGGGAUAAGUCGAGGUAUAUGAUACAUUUGUGCAUACUCAGUAGCACCUAAUAGCUAUACCCAGCAGAUUCUCCUUCCAUACUGGCAGGCUCCCCAACCCCAGUUCUAGAGCAGCUCUAGCUUAGCCUCUGGGUGGGACCCAUACAACUCCAUUUCCAUCAGUGGCAGAGACAGCGCACAUGCCCCUGGCCUGGGAAUGUGGCUUGACUUUCUCUCUCUGGAAAGAACAAUCAUCCAGCCAUCACAUCUCCCUAGCUUGGUCCAGGGUGGUCACCUUCCCAGCUCUACUCUGAAUCCUUCAUGAGCUACAUGCCGGACUAUAAGGUGGCACCCCUUGGGAUUAAAAAACGAGAAAGUCCCAGCCUCUCUGUUCCUGGAGCUCACAACAGCGGAACCAGCCAACAGGACAUCCACAUGGGGACGUACGAAGAGUUCUAUCCUGCCUUCCCCUCCAUGCCUUGGCCAGUUGUUUCCAUCUCAAUGGUACCUCCUUUCUGAAGGGUUUUCUUCUGCCUGUUCUUGGAAGUCUAUGUAGUCAUUCGAUAUCCACAUGGGAAGGUGAGGAAAGAAGACACGCACAAGGGACUUCAGAAGGGAGGCCAGUCUUCUGAGAGCAAGAGGUGAGGCCUGAGGAGCAUGAUGUGGGGGAAGAGUGUGGGCUUUGGGUCUGACAGAUCUGGGUUCAAGUGCUGGGUGCUGCCACUCAUUUGCUGUGCAUGACCUUGGAGGACAUUGCCCUACUUAUCUGAACUUAUUAACUCAUGUAUAAAACAUGGAUGAUAAAUAGGUCUCUUACAGCAUUGAUGGUGAACUCAGUGAACUCAGUGUGUGGGGGGCUCAAUAAACAGUGGUUCUAUUCAUUA